GUGUUCAGUGGUUCUGGAUGACCCGGGGGAUUAUUAGGUUCUUCUUAUGGAAUUUUCUAUAGUUAAAAGAUGAACCCGGAAUUCUGACUGUUUGGUGUGGACAUGGGAGCUCAUCUGUAAGAUUUUGCAGGUGUGAGGCCUGCCAAGUUUUCAAUAUCAUGCAGUUUCCUGAAAGGAUAUAAGCAGCAUCAGCCUUUCUUCAGAUGGUGAAGAAAAAACCCUAUUAUUCUAUCAGUGACCUUUGGCAAGAAACUGCUCUCUUGAACUGUUCAUGUCUCUGGAGUGUUUGACUAAGGUUUCUUCUGGUCAGGUCAUCGACAAUCCAAAUGUCAGACAACAAUGUGGCCAUUUUUCAUCUUGAGUUCUGGAGGCAGAAGGCGGAUGCAGGUUUCACUGGCUUAAAACCGAGGAAUUGGCAGAGGAACAUUCCUUUCUAGAGGCCUUAGGGGAGGACAUGGUUGCUGGUAUUUCCAGUGUCUAGAAGCUCUUGUGCUAAAAGACGUUGCUGAAUCCUGUUCCCUGAAAGUAAUGGGUCAUGGGCUGGAUGAUAAAAAGAAAAGAAGAGCUCUACUUCAGGAGUCUUUUAUUUUAACGACCACUGUGGUAGACAGCCUUUAAGAUGACUCCAGUGAUUCCAAUUUCUCGAGUGUGAGCUGGACCUAAUGACUUGCUUCCAGCAGACAGAAUAUGGCAAAGAUAAUGAAAUUUUGGUUCUGAGGUGAGGCCACAAAAAGGCUCUGGGUUCCAUCGCGCUUGCCUGCAUGCAUUUGCUCUGAUGAAAAUCAGCCGCCAUGUUUUGAGCUGCUUUAUGGACAGGCCACGUGGCAAGGAACUGAGGUAGGCUCCCGGGUAAGAGCCAGAGAAUGGAAACCCAGGCCCUCAAUGCAACAACCUCAGAAGAACCUAGUCCUGUCAACAACCACUUGAGUGCCCUUGGAAGGGGAUCUUUUCUGGGUCAUGCCUUGAGCCAGCUGUCAUCCUUGAGACUGAGGCAUCUGGAAAAGCUGUGCCUGGAUUUCUGAUUCACAAAAACUGUGGGAAAAUCAAUGCUUAUUGGGAUAAUUUGUGUCAUAACAAUAGAUAACUAUUACAACAGUGAAAUGGCAUUACAGAAAGUUUGGAAAAGGGAGAGGUGGAAAGUCGUCCAUAAUUCUACCACUCAAUCCAACUGUGGCUUAAUUUUUGCAUGUUUUAUUUCAGUCUGCAUACGUUUAUAUUGCUGGGGAGCAUAAUGUGAAUAAAAUUUUCCAUAAUUUAGUUAACCUCCUCAUUCUCUUUAGGCAUUUCCAUUACUUCCUAUUUAAUUUGCAAUUAAAAAUAAUGUAACAACCAUCAUCUUUGUGGAUGUGGUUCUUUU
Long non-coding RNA from Felis catus (domestic cat), 1357 nucleotides. RefSeq lists it as uncharacterized. The record is from RefSeq and is a predicted model, not a curated record. The transcript has 3 exons. NCBI's taxonomy places the organism in Eukaryota, Metazoa, Chordata, Mammalia, Carnivora, Felidae.